This 25-nucleotide unclassified non-coding RNA is filed under the name Mus musculus (house mouse). RNAcentral describes it as "oocyte_clustered_small_RNA1123". Lineage: Eukaryota; Metazoa; Chordata; Mammalia; Rodentia; Muridae. The record is from RNAcentral.
CGCCAAAGCGGUUUCACUCCUGUGG